Molecule: unclassified non-coding RNA, 139 nt
Filed under: plant metagenome
Description: partial contains 5.8S ribosomal RNA, internal transcribed spacer 2, and large subunit ribosomal RNA
Source: RNAcentral
UGCCCUCCUCCACCAAUCCGACACGCCCGUUCACGAAGAACACGCUCGACGAACAUCUCGACAUGCUGAUGGUUUGCCACCACCUGUCGCCGUCCAUACCGGAAGAUCUGGCGUUCGCCGAAAGCCGCAUCCGCAAGGA